RNAcentral lists this ribosomal RNA (484 nucleotides) under uncultured bacterium. RNAcentral's name for it is "partial 16S ribosomal RNA". It matches the Rfam family "Bacterial small subunit ribosomal RNA", at positions 30 to 507 of the family's 1533-position model. The record is from RNAcentral.
AUUGAACGCUGGCGGAAUGCUUUACACAUGCAAGUCGAACGGCAGCACGGGGGCAACCCUUGUGGCGGGUGGCGAACGGGUGAGUAAUACAUCGGAACGUGCCCGGUCGUGGGGGAUAACGUAGCGAAAGUUACGCUAAUACCGCAUACGAUCUGAGGAUGAAAGCGGGGGACCUUCGGCCCUGCCGCGAUCGGAGCACCCCAUGUCAGAUAAGUUAGUUGGUGGGGUAAAGGCCUACCAAGCCGGCGAUCUGUAGCUGGUCCGAGAGGGCGACCAGCCAGACUGGGACUGAGACACGGCCCAGACACCUACGGGGGGAAGCAGUGGGGAAUUUUGGACAAUGCGGGAAAGCCUGAUCCAGCCAUACCGCGUGCAGGACGAAGGCCUUCGGGUUGUAAACUGCUUUUGUAUGGAACGAAAAGGCUCUGGCUAAUACCUGGGGCUCAUGACGGUACCGUACGAAUAAGCCCCGGCUAACUACGUG